UCAGUACAAGUUAUCUCAACUACAUCUGA
This 29-nucleotide small RNA is filed under the name Bombyx mori (domestic silkworm). RNAcentral describes it as "ovarian small RNA-25752". Lineage: Eukaryota; Metazoa; Arthropoda; Insecta; Lepidoptera; Bombycidae. The record is from RNAcentral.